GACAAAUUCCUCUGUCCCAUCCGCCGCCGCCGCACACCACUUGGUCUCCUCCUCUCUCAAUUUCCCCACCGACCCAAUCCCCUCCAUCUCGCAUCAGCUAGCCGUCGCGCCCCUGCUGGAUCUUGUGCAUGAGGAUGAGCCCGAGCCCUCUCCUCUCGAUCCAUGGCUCAUCUGCCGCGAGGCGCUCGCAGCAAUCGGAGGGGAAGCAAUCCUCGCGUCUCCCUCGUGUUCCUCUUCCUCUAUCUUCUUUUUCUCUCAGCCUGAGCUCCUUUUUUUCUGUGCCUACAGGAGCUCCACGAAGGAACCCGCCAUGGUUGCGGCAUCAUGUGGAACGAGCAGCUCCACCGCAUGCAUUCGCGAGCAGCUCAACUGGUCCAGGCCAUCUCUCUUUCUUCCCUCGCUAAUCUCAUCCCUUCCCCUUCUUUUCUCUGCAGAGAAGCUCCCAGGGAUGCCUGAUCCAUGGAGGUGAGUCGCCGAGAAGAUUGCCGUUGCGCCUCGAGAUCAUCGGGAAUGGACGGAUCCGGGCAGCCCCACCCCAGAUCCGGCGUCCCCGCCUCCGGAUCGCCCACCAGACGUGCUGCCGGCGCCGUUGACGCGCAGCAACCUCCAUGGCCGGACGCACCUCUUUCUCAGGUUCAGAUUCAGUCAUAGCAUUUUCAAUCCCGUUCACACAUGCGGUUCUGUCAGUUCAUUAGGCGACAUCCAUCACUUUUAGCACCAGCACACAGCAGCCGAGUUGGCUAGCACAACCGGACUUGUUGCAAGAGCUUGUGGGUUCGAGUCCCCACGGAAGUACCAUUUUUCACUCAUUUUUUCCAUCACGAAAGGAUCAGCUAUUUGACAUUGAUCCCCUAUUGUGUCACAAACAUGUAGUAGGCAAGAUGGUCAAUCCAUAAUUCUAGCAACCAAGAGGUCCUUGGUUCGAAUCCUAGCCAAGCCCCUAAUUUUUUUGCUAUUCUGUAUUGUUUUGCACAGCCACACAUCCAAGCACAUGGGCCGAAAGCUUUCGCUGGCUGCAGCCUUUUGCAUAGAUUCGGCCCAGUAGUGGUUUAUUUAGCACGUGCAAUUUUUCUUUAAUUUCAGAAAAAUGCAUUGUUUUUCAAACGCUCGUAGUUUCUUAACCGUGCACCGGAUCGGAGUGAUUUAAAUAUGUAACUUGGCUAGAAUUUUGCUUAGAAUAAUAUUUUCCAACUCUCAUGCAUAAUUAAAACUGUUUAGUGUGUUUUUGGCAUCGUUUUGUGUGCCAACGUGUUGAAAACGGUUUAGGUCGUAACUAUUUGUCCAUAGCUCCGUUGGAGAUGUGCCAUAUAUGUAAAUGGACCAGAACGACGAGUAGAAUCACGUGUUCCACUUUGUUUCUCCGUUUAACAAAUAUAAAAUAUGAUUAGGACAAAUCUGGACAGAAUUAAGAUUUAACACGUGGGGUCAUUUCGGAGAUGCUAUAUGUCGUUUCCGGUCUCAUUUAAAAUGACUAGCUAGGUAGAUUAAUUUGUGCUUCACCCUCAUGCCAUGUUUAACAACAUUUAAUAUAUCCGUGUACCUGAACGGGAGUGAACUAAAUAAUUCAACGUGGAGUUUCGUCGAUAUGCAACUCGUUGCAUAUCGAGCUUCACUUAAUGUGUAGUGUUUGAUUGUUGUGAUUGUCAUGCCUUGCAUUAGACCGUUCAUGCAUCAUGUGUGUCUUGCAUCGUGUGGUGUAUAUCGUGUGUUGAUGCUUGUUUCCGGUUUCCUCCGUCUCGAUAGAGUUCCGCAAGCGUGUCGGAUGUGAGGGUCGUUCGACUACGUCGGUUCGUCUGCUUCGCAGAGUCAUUCUUCUUCGAAGCGGGAUCUCAGGCACGAUGAUCAUUUCCCCAGAUACCAUUACUAUCAUUGCCAUGCUAGUUAUCGCUUCUACCAUUUAUGUCUCGUUGCCUACCACAUGUUUCCAUAUCCGCCUCUCAACAAUGCCAUGAUUACCUUCAACCUGUUCGACCUAGCAAACCACUGAUUGGCUAUGUUACUGCUUGCUUAAUCUUGUUGUUAGCGUUGUUAGUUGCAGGUGCAGUUGCUUCCAUGUGAAAACAUGGGUUCCUUGUCAUAUCACCCUAUUAAAUGCCAUUUAAUUUAAUGCACCUAUAUACUUGGUAAAAGCUGGAAGGCUUGGCCUUUCUAGCCUGGUGUUUUGUUCCACCUUUGCCCCCUUAGUUUUCGGCUACCGGUGUUAUGUUCCAUAAAUGAGCGCUCCUAACACGAUCGGGGUUGUUAUGGGGACCCCCUUGAUAAUUCGUUUUAGAUUAAAGCUGGUCUGGCAAGGCCCAACUUUGGUACUACAUUUGCCUAAUAACUAACGAACUACAUAGGGAGUAAUUAACCCGAGGAUAUUUAAUCAACCCCCGGGCCAGUGCUCCUCAUGAGUGUUGGCCCCACCUGAGCGAUGUCCGGCGCCCCUCUGGUCACCUGGAGGUUUAGCGAUCCCGACGUCUAGCUCAUCCGUCGUGUCCUGAGAACGAGGUACGCGACUCCUAUCGGGAUCGUCGACACGUCGGGCGGCCUUGCUGGAUUAGUUUUACCUUUGACGAGAUAUCUUGUGCAUUGGGAUUCCGGUGAUGCUUUGGGUAAUCUCAGAGUUGAGGUUUUCCACUAGGGAAUCCGACGAGAUCGCGAGCUUUGUGAUUGAGGAUUUCUAUGCAGCUUGUGGUAAUUUGUGAUGGACUAGUUGGAGCACCCCUGCAGGGUUAAAUCUUUCGGAAAGCCAUGCCCGCGGUUAUGUGGCAACGUGGAAGCUUUGUUUAACACUGGUUCUAGAUAACUUGAAGUUAAUUAAUUAAAAUAUGCCAACUGUGUGCGUAACCGUGACUGUCUCUUUCGUGAGUUCCUUCUCCCAUCGAGGACACGGUGGGGUUAUGUCUGAUGUAGGUAGGUGUUCAGGAUCAUUCGCUUGAUCAUCAGUAGUCACGUCCGCUAUGCGUGGAUCUUCCCCCUCUUAUUUCUGGUAUUCGUAAGUUAGCCACCAAAUAUGUGCUUAGCCGCUGCUGCAACCUCACCACUUAAGCAUACCUCACCCAUUAAGCUUUGCUAGUCUUGAUACCUUUGGAAAUGAGAUUGCUGAGUCCCCCGUGGCUCACAGAUUACUACAACACCAGUUGCAGGUACAGGUAAAGGUUACUUGACGCGAGCGCGUUGAUUGUUCAUUUGGAGUUGCUUCUUCUUCUUCUGCAUCGAUCUAGGAUGGGUUCCAGGCCGGCAGCCUGGGAUAGCAAGGAUGGACGUCAUUCUUCUUUUGUCGUUUGUUUUCGUACGUAGUCGGACCCUGCUCUUACUCUUGAUGUUUAUGUAAUGUACUGGUGUGACUCUGAUGUAGCUUGUGGCGAGUGUAAGCCAACUCUUUAUAUAUCUCUUCUUUUCAGUACAUGUACUUCUAACGAUAUCCAUUCUUGCGACACGAUGAGAUGCGCUUCUAUCCCCGACGAGGCCCUCGUGCCAAAUUGAGGAUAGGGUCGCAUCUUGGGCGUGACACUCAUGCCAAGACCACUAUCACACAUGCACUCACAUAUCCCACCAAGGUGACACAACAACACAAGGAUCAAAACAAAGAAGACAAUAAUAUGAUGCUAUGCAUGAUGCAUGAAGCACAUGAAAUGAUGACACCACUAAGUCUUACAUCCAUCUCAUUAACAAUCCAAGGUUGCCAUACAAGGAAAUAU
RNAcentral lists this long non-coding RNA (3683 nucleotides) under Hordeum vulgare. RNAcentral's name for it is "long non-coding RNA (HVUL_LNC000367)". The record is from RNAcentral. Lineage: Eukaryota; Viridiplantae; Streptophyta; Magnoliopsida; Poales; Poaceae.